Molecule: ribosomal RNA, 552 nt
Filed under: Listeria monocytogenes
Lineage: Bacteria; Bacillati; Bacillota; Bacilli; Caryophanales; Listeriaceae
Description: bacterial SSU rRNA
Rfam family: Bacterial small subunit ribosomal RNA
Source: RNAcentral
CACGCUUUUGAAAGAUGGUUUCGGCUAUCGCUUACAGAUGGGCCCGCGGUGCAUUAGCUAGUUGGUAGGGUAAUGGCCUACCAAGGCAACGAUGCAUAGCCGACCUGAGAGGGUGAUCGGCCACACUGGGACUGAGACACGGCCCAGACUCCUACGGGAGGCAGCAGUAGGGAAUCUUCCGCAAUGGACGAAAGUCUGACGGAGCAACGCCGCGUGUAUGAAGAAGGUUUUCGGAUCGUAAAGUACUGUUGUUAGAGAAGAACAAGGAUAAGAGUAACUGCUUGUCCCUUGACGGUAUCUAACCAGAAAGCCACGGCUAACUACGUGCCAGCAGCCGCGGUAAUACGUAGGUGGCAAGCGUUGUCCGGAUUUAUUGGGCGUAAAGCGCGCGCAGGCGGUCUUUUAAGUCUGAUGUGAAAGCCCCCGGCUUAACCGGGGAGGGUCAUUGGAAACUGGAAGACUGGAGUGCAGAAGAGGAGAGUGGAAUUCCACGUGUAGCGGUGAAAUGCGUAGAUAUGUGGAGGAACACCAGUGGCGAAGGCGACUCUCUGG